UCCGGAUGUUGGGUCAUCAUUGCUAGAUGGUUACAUCGAUUGAUUCAGGAAGGUGUUCCUAUACUAUCGACUUAGGUUCGAACCUAUGGGGUCGUACUCAAAAGAAGUUUAUGACUGAUCAUGUGGCUGAUCAACGAUUGAGAAUCAUUCAAGGGCUUAAUCGUCAAUUCGAUUGAUGGUUAACCUUAUGCAAAAGUUAUAAUAAAUUAAUUCAUCAAGUGUUAGUAAAUUAAUGAAGGAUUAAUUAGCAAU
RNAcentral lists this long non-coding RNA (252 nucleotides) under Elaeis guineensis (African oil palm). RNAcentral's name for it is "long non-coding RNA (EGUI_LNC080265)". Lineage: Eukaryota; Viridiplantae; Streptophyta; Magnoliopsida; Arecales; Arecaceae. The record is from RNAcentral.